GUACUGUGCAAACGUUAUUCGGAAUCACUGGGCUUAAAGGGUGCGUAGGCGGCCGUUUAAGUAGGGUGUGAAAUCCCUCGGCUCAACCGAGGAAUGGCGCUCUAAACUGGACGGCUUGAGUGAGAUAGGGGUGUGCGGAACUUCCGGUGGAGCGGUGAAAUGUGUUGAUAUCGGAAGGAACGCCGGUGGCGAAAGCGGCACACUGGGUCUCAACUGACGCUGAGGCACGAAAGCUAGGGUAGCGAACGGGAUUAGAUACCCCGGUAGUCCUAGCUGUAAACGAUGAGCACUAGUCGGGAGGGUUUCGACCCUUUCCCGGACGUAGCAAAAGUGUUAAGUGCUCCGCCUGGGGAGUAUGGUCGCAAGGCUG
RNAcentral lists this ribosomal RNA (370 nucleotides) under uncultured organism. RNAcentral's name for it is "partial 16S ribosomal RNA". It matches the Rfam family "Bacterial small subunit ribosomal RNA", at positions 527 to 896 of the family's 1533-position model. The record is from RNAcentral.